CGGGUUGCUUGGCUCUACUGGACCUGGCCAUCAUGAAAAUAGCAGCUUUCAACAUCCAGAAGUUUGGAAGAACCAAAGUGUCCGACCCGGAUGUCCUCAAAGUCCUAGUCAAGAUCGUUUCUCGAUACGACAUCGUUGUGAUUUUGGAGGUCGUGGACAUCAGCGGAGACUCUGUGAAAACCUUCCUGGACGCACUCAACCA
This is a long non-coding RNA of Notothenia coriiceps (black rockcod), 202 nucleotides long. RefSeq lists it as uncharacterized. NCBI's taxonomy places the organism in Eukaryota, Metazoa, Chordata, Actinopteri, Perciformes, Nototheniidae. The transcript has 3 exons. The record is from RefSeq and is a predicted model, not a curated record.